UACGUAGGGCGCAAGCGUUGUCCGGAAUUAUUGGGCGUAAAGAGCUCGUAGGCGGCUUGUCACGUCGGGUGUGAAAGCCCGGGGCUUAACCCCGGGUCUGCAUUCGAUACGGGCUAGCUAGAGUGUGGUAGGGGAGAUCGGAAUUCCUAGUGUAGCGGUGAAAUGCGCAGAUAUUAGGAAGAACACCGGUGGCGAAGGCGGCUCUCUGGAACGGUACUGACGCUGAGACGCGAAAGCGUGGGGAGCGAACAGG
Molecule: ribosomal RNA, 253 nt
Filed under: uncultured bacterium
Lineage: Bacteria
Description: partial 16S ribosomal RNA
Rfam family: Bacterial small subunit ribosomal RNA
Source: RNAcentral